This 296-nucleotide ribosomal RNA is filed under the name Laribacter hongkongensis. RNAcentral's name for it is "partial 16S ribosomal RNA". It matches the Rfam family "Bacterial small subunit ribosomal RNA", at positions 512 to 807 of the family's 1533-position model. Lineage: Bacteria; Pseudomonadati; Pseudomonadota; Betaproteobacteria; Neisseriales; Aquaspirillaceae. The record is from RNAcentral.
CAGCCGCGGUAAUACGUAGGGUGCAAGCGUUAAUCGGAAUUACUGGGCGUAAAGCGUGCGCAGGCGGUUUGAAAAGUCAGCUGUGAAAGCCCCGGGCUCAACCUGGGAACUGCGGUUGAAACUCUCAAGCUAGAGUGCGUCAGAGGGGAGUGGAAUUCCACGUGUAGCAGUGAAAUGCGUAGAGAUGUGGAGGAACACCAAUGGCGAAGGCAGCCCCCUGGGAUGACACUGACGCUCAUGCACGAAAGCGUGGGGAGCAAACAGGAUUAGAUACCCUGGUAGUCCACGCCCUAAAC